AACGAACGCUGGCGGCAUGCCUAACACAUGCAAGUCGAACGAGACCUUCGGGUCUAGUGGCGCACGGGUGCGUAACGCGUGGGAACCUGCCCUUAGGUUCGGAAUAACUCCCCGAAAGGGGUGCUAAUGCCGGAUAAUGUCUUCGGACCAAAGAUUUAUCGCCUUUGGAUGGGCCCGCGUUGGAUUAGCUAGUUGGUAGGGUAAAAGCCUACCAAGGCGACGAUCCAUAGCUGGUCUGAGAGGAUGAUCAGCCACACUGGGACUGAGACACGGCCCAGACUCCUACGGGAGGCAGCAGUGGGGAAUAUUGGACAAUGGGCGAAAGCCUGGUCCAGCAAUGCCGCGUGAGUGAUGAAGGCCUUAGGGUUGUAAAGCUCUUUUACCCGGGAUGAUAAUGACAGUACCGGGAGAAUAAGCUCCGGCUAACUCCGUG
Molecule: ribosomal RNA, 433 nt
Filed under: uncultured bacterium
Lineage: Bacteria
Description: partial 16S ribosomal RNA
Rfam family: Bacterial small subunit ribosomal RNA
Source: RNAcentral